Unclassified non-coding RNA from Macaca fascicularis (crab-eating macaque), 148 nucleotides. It matches the Rfam family "Metazoan signal recognition particle RNA". Rfam says of the family: The signal recognition particle (SRP) is a universally conserved ribonucleoprotein. It is involved in the co-translational targeting of proteins to membranes. The record is from Ensembl. NCBI's taxonomy places the organism in Eukaryota, Metazoa, Chordata, Mammalia, Primates, Cercopithecidae.
GCCAGGCAUGGUGGCGCACGCCUGUAAUCCCAGGAACUCUGAAGGUUGAGGCAGGAGAAUCACUUGAACCCAGGAGGCUGGGGCUGCAGUGAGCUGAUAUAGCGCCAUUGCACUCCAGCCUGGGUGACAGAGUGAGACUCUGUCUCAA